This 547-nucleotide small RNA is filed under the name Pongo abelii (Sumatran orangutan). RNAcentral describes it as "retained intron". The record is from RNAcentral. Lineage: Eukaryota; Metazoa; Chordata; Mammalia; Primates; Hominidae.
CCUCACUUCCUACUGGGGCCCAGGCCCCCUGGCAGCGUGGUGCCCACAUCAGCGGCAGAGGCAAGUCGGGCCAUGGCCGGGGACACAUCACUGAGCGAGAACUAUGCCUUUGCGGGCAUGUACCAUGUUUUUGACCAGCACGUGGAUGAGGCAGUCCCAAGGGUGCGCUUCGCCAAUGAUGACCGACACCGCCUGGCCUGCUGCUCACUCGACGGCAGCAUCUCCCUGUGCCAGCUGGUGCCUGCCCCACCCACAGUGCUUCGCGUGCUACGGGGCCACACCCGCGGUGUCUCCGACUUCGCCUGGUCCCUCUCCAAUGACAUCCUCGUGUCCACCUCACUGGAUGCCACCAUGCGCAUCUGGGCCUCUGAGGAUGGCCGCUGCAUCCGGGAGAUCCCUGACCCCGAUGGCGCUGAACUGCUCUGCUGCACCUUCCAGCCUGUCAACAACAACCUCACUGUGGUCAGGCUCCAGGACACCCACUCACCAAGGGCUGGUUGGCUGGGUCAGGAAGGCUAUCCGAGGGAAUCAGAGUAUAAGGAGGGAU